CCUACGGGAGGCAGCAGUGGGGAAUAUUGCACAAUGGGGGAAACCCUGAUGCAGCGACGCCGCGUGAGUGAAGAAGUAUCUCGGUACGUAAAGCUCUAUCAGCAGGGAAGAAAAUGACGGUACCUGACUAAGAAGCCCCGGCUACCUACGUGCCAGCAGCCGCGGUAAUACGUAGGGGGCAAGCGGUAUCCGGGUUUAUUUGGUGUAAAGGGAGCGUAGACGGCAGCACAAGUCUGGCGUGAAAUCCCGGGGCUUAACCCCGGACCUGCUUUGGAAACUGUGCUGCUGGAGUGCAGGAGGGGUAAGCGGAAUUCCUAGUGUAGCGGUGAAAUGCGUAGAUAUUAGGCGGAACACCGGUGGCGAAGGCGGCUUACUGGACUGUAACUGACGUUGAGGCUCGAAAGCGUGGGGAGCAAACAGGAUUAGAUACCCUAGUAGUC
This 440-nucleotide ribosomal RNA is filed under the name uncultured bacterium. Its description in RNAcentral is "partial 16S ribosomal RNA". It matches the Rfam family "Bacterial small subunit ribosomal RNA", at positions 338 to 795 of the family's 1533-position model. The record is from RNAcentral.